Planomicrobium sp. is the source of this 87-nucleotide regulatory RNA element. It matches the Rfam family "c-di-GMP-I riboswitch aptamer". From Rfam's summary of the family: GEMM was predicted in a large-scale screen for bacterial structured RNA regulatory elements. Genes associated with GEMM are involved in a diverse array of functions, including chemotaxis regulation, signal transduction, secretion and chitin. The record is from Rfam. NCBI's taxonomy places the organism in Bacteria, Bacillati, Bacillota, Bacilli, Caryophanales, Caryophanaceae.
UGUCGACAAUGGCAAACUUUCUCGAAAGAAAAGGACGCAAAGCCACGGGCCUAAAUAUUUUAGAUACAAGGUAGCCGGGUUGCCGAA